AUCCAGCUAACGAGUCCCAAAUAGGAUUUGACGCGCGUCCUGGAU
Non-coding RNA from Schistosoma rodhaini, 45 nucleotides. The record is from Rfam. Lineage: Eukaryota; Metazoa; Platyhelminthes; Trematoda; Strigeidida; Schistosomatidae.